AUGUAAGAUUUUAAUGGUCGAACAGACCAAAUAUAAAUAUUUUUUUCAAUAAUUAUUAAUCUUAAUUCAACAUCGAGGUCGCAAUCUUUUUUAUCAAUUCGUGCUAUCUAAAAAAAAUUACGCUGUUAUCCCUAAGGUAAUUUAUUUUAAUUUUUAAAUUAAAAAUAAAAUAUUCAUAAAUUUAUGAAUUAUAGUAUUAAAAAAUUUAUUAAAUUUUUAUAUUUCCCCAAUAAAAUAUAAAAAUUUAUAAUUUUAUUUAAAUAAUUAAAUUAUAUAUUUUUAUAUAAAAUUCUAUAGGGUCUUAUCGUCUUUUAAUUGAAUUUUUGAAUUUUUACAAAAAAAAUAAAUUAAAUUUUUAUUAUUAUGAGACAGUUAUUAUUUCAUUAAAUCAUUCAUACUAGAUUUUUAUUAAAAAACAAUUGAUUAUGCUACCUUAGCACAGUUAGUAUACUGCGGCAAUUUAAUUUAUAAUCAUUGAGCAGAUUUAACUUUUUAUUAAUUUCAAAAAGAC
Molecule: ribosomal RNA, 511 nt
Filed under: Diphoropria sp. M229
Lineage: Eukaryota; Metazoa; Arthropoda; Insecta; Hymenoptera; Diapriidae
Description: partial 16S ribosomal RNA
Source: RNAcentral